CCCAGGCCAGACUCAACUCACAGCGAGGGACGUGCCCUGUCCGCCCCUUGUGGGAAGGGGCAGUCCCCGAGACGGGCGGUGACCUCCGCCCCGAUUUGGGGAACCCCCAAGAGCGUCUGACCAAGGCUCAGCGGUAGAAUAAAGAAGAGAGCUCACAGACUUGAACUGACAAGACAUCAAGAGAAAAAGCUGUAAACAUAUUGAGGUGAAGAGGAUGUUGGAAAACAAUCCCAAAUACAGGUCUGAAGACUCAUCCCAGUGAUAGUGAUGGCCUCCAAAAGCAUCCUCCACGGUAAAAUCCAACAAGCUGAAAACUUUAAUCAACAAUGAUUCCAAGUAAGUACAUUCCCCCGGUUCAAUGGCUCUCCAAUCUGGUCCAUGAGACCUCCCCAGGGGUCGUGGAGAAGUUUUCAAAGGAUCUGUGUGUUCAAACCGAUUCUAAUAAUAAUACUAAGACAUUAUUUGCCUUUUUCAUGUUGCUAACAUUUGUAUUGAUGAUUCUAAACAAAUGGUGGCUAAAGCUGCUGUCACUUUCACACGAAUCAAGACAGUGACACCAAAUGGAAGUGGCAGUCAUUGUAUUCAAGCCAC
Molecule: long non-coding RNA, 591 nt
Organism: Saimiri boliviensis boliviensis (Bolivian squirrel monkey)
Lineage: Eukaryota; Metazoa; Chordata; Mammalia; Primates; Cebidae
Source: RefSeq, a predicted model, not a curated record